RNAcentral lists this ribosomal RNA (256 nucleotides) under uncultured bacterium. RNAcentral describes it as "partial 16S ribosomal RNA". It matches the Rfam family "Bacterial small subunit ribosomal RNA", at positions 524 to 776 of the family's 1533-position model. The record is from RNAcentral.
UACGUAGGGCGCGAGCGUUGUCCGGAAUUAUUGGGCGUAAAGAGCUCGUAGGCGGCCUGUUGCGUCCGCUGUGAAAUCCCAGGGCUCAACCCUGGGCGUGCAGUGGAUACGGGCAGGCUGGAGGCAGGCAGGGGAGAACGGAAUUCCCGUGGUGAUAGCGGUGAAAUGCGCAGAUAUCAGGAGGAACACCGAUGGCGAAGGCAGGUCUCUGGGCCACUACUGACGCUGAGAAGCGAAAGCAUGGGGAGCGAACAGG